Molecule: small nucleolar RNA, 122 nt
Filed under: Echinops telfairi (small Madagascar hedgehog)
Lineage: Eukaryota; Metazoa; Chordata; Mammalia; Afrosoricida; Tenrecidae
Description: Small nucleolar RNA SNORA61 (ENSETEG00000024862.1)
Source: RNAcentral
ACCCUCCCGCUUCCUUACCCACCAGAUCUAACUACUGGGCUGAGUGGCUCUAAAAGAAAGAAAAGUGAAACUGAAACUGUACUUUAAUUCUUCGGUGGCACACAAGCUCGUUUCGAACAAAC